CAAAAGAUAGUUUAACGUAAAGCAGCAGCUUUGGGAGUUGCAGAUGUAGGUGCAAACCCUACUCUUUUGA
RNAcentral lists this transfer RNA (70 nucleotides) under Lytechinus variegatus (green sea urchin). RNAcentral describes it as "tRNA-Pro". It matches the Rfam family "tRNA". From Rfam's summary of the family: Transfer RNA (tRNA) molecules are approximately 80 nucleotides in length. The record is from RNAcentral. Lineage: Eukaryota; Metazoa; Echinodermata; Echinoidea; Temnopleuroida; Toxopneustidae.